This 1355-nucleotide ribosomal RNA is filed under the name metagenome. RNAcentral describes it as "bacterial LSU rRNA". It matches the Rfam family "Bacterial large subunit ribosomal RNA", at positions 1566 to 2925 of the family's 2925-position model. The record is from RNAcentral.
UACGUCCACACCUUUUAGGUGUGGAUCAGUUGACUGUCAUACUUCCAAGAAAAGCUCGAACUACUGUAAAGCAUUACGUACCUGUACCGUAAACCGACGCAGGUGGGUUGGUAGAGUAUACCAAGGGGCGCGAGAUAACUCUCUCUAAGGAACUCGGCAAAAUGACCCCGUAACUUCGGGAGAAGGGGUGCCAAGUAACUCAAAUUGCUUGGUCGCAGUGACCAGGCCCUGGCGACUGUUUAUCAAAAACACAGGUCUCCGCAAAGUCGUAAGACAACAUAUGGGGGCUGACGCCUGCCCAGUGCCGGAAGGUUAAAGAAGUUGGUUAUUCACUCGUGGAGAAGCUGACGACUGAAGCCCCGGUGAACGGCGGCCGUAACGAUAACGGUCCUAAGGUAGCGGAAUUCCUUGUCGGGUAAGUUCCGACCCGCACGAAAGGCGUAACGAUCAGGGCACUGUCUCGGAGAGAGACUCGGUGAAAUAGACAUGUCUGUGAAGAUGCGGACUACCUGCACCUGGACAGAAAGACCCUAUGAAGCUUGACUGUAGCUUGGAAUUGGGUUCGGGCUCUUCUUGCGCAGCCUAGGUGGGAGGCGUUGAAGGCUUUCUUUUGGGGAAGCUGGAGCCAUCAGUGAGAGACCACUCUGGAGGAGCUAGAAUUCUAAUGGCGUUCCUUGAAGCAGGACGCUUGACAGUUUCAGGUGGGCAGUUUGACUGGGGCGGUCACCUCCUAAAAGGUAACGGAGGUGUGCAAAGGUUCCCUCAGGCUGGACGGAAAUCAGCCGUAGAGUGUAAAGGCAGAAGGGAGCUUGACUGCAAGACCUACAAGUCGAGCAGGGGCGAAAGCCGGCCUUAGUGAUCCGACGGUCCCAUGUGGAAGGGCCGUCGCUCAACGGAUAAAAGUUACUCUAAGGAUAACAGGCUGAUCUUCCCCAAGAGUUCACAUCGACGGGAAGGUUUGGCACCUUGAUGUCGGCUCAUCGCAACCUGGGGCGGUAGUACGUCCCAAGGGUUGGGCUGUUCGCCCAUGAAAGCGGUACGUGAGCUGGGUUCAGAACGUCGUGAGACAGUUCGGUCCAUAUCCGGUGUAGGCGUUAGAGCAUUGAGAGGAGUCUUCCAUAGUACGAGAGGACCUGGAAGAACACACCUCUGGUAUACCAGUUAUCAUGCCAAUGGUAGACGCUGGGUAGCCAUGUGUGGAGUGGAUAACCGCUGAAAGCAUCUAAGUGGGAAGCCCACCUCAAGAUGAGUGCUCUCCAUUAGGUCACAGGAAGACAACCUGUUUGAUAGGCAGAAGGUGUAAGGCUAGUAAUAGUUUCAGCUGAUCUGUACUAAUAGACCGAUUGAUUUUGACC